Odocoileus virginianus texanus is the source of this 280-nucleotide non-coding RNA. Lineage: Eukaryota; Metazoa; Chordata; Mammalia; Artiodactyla; Cervidae. The record is from RefSeq and is a predicted model, not a curated record.
GUGUAAGGAACUCUUCCUCUCUUGAAGUACACAGUUUCAGGUUCCCAGGAAUGGAGUGAAAUCAGUUUGGACUCCCACAAAUUCUGGUGUCAGAACAGAGUCAAGAGAAAAGGAUCUGUAGUCGGUGUAGCAGUGACUAGAACUACAAGAGUUAACAGGACAACAUCGUUCCAGUUUCUGAACAAUUUUGGGUGAUACACCACUGUGAUGAUAUUAAAGAAGAGCUAGAAGUCCUUAGAUGCUAUUGGUUAAUAAAGAAUUAUGCACAUCUGCCCCUGCA